UACGUAGGGUGCAAGCGUUAAUCGGAAUUACUGGGCGUAAAGCGUGCGCAGGCGGUUUUGUAAGUCUGUCGUGAAAGCCCCGGGCUCAACCUGGGAAUUGCGAUGGAGACUGCAAGGCUUGAAUCUGGCAGAGGGGGGUAGAAUUCCACGUGUAGCAGUGAAAUGCGUAGAGAUGUGGAGGAACACCGAUGGCGAAGGCAGCCC
This 204-nucleotide ribosomal RNA is filed under the name uncultured bacterium. RNAcentral's name for it is "partial 16S ribosomal RNA". It matches the Rfam family "Bacterial small subunit ribosomal RNA", at positions 524 to 727 of the family's 1533-position model. The record is from RNAcentral.